RNAcentral lists this ribosomal RNA (834 nucleotides) under uncultured bacterium. RNAcentral's name for it is "bacterial SSU rRNA". It matches the Rfam family "Bacterial small subunit ribosomal RNA", at positions 60 to 886 of the family's 1533-position model. The record is from RNAcentral.
AGUCGAGGGGCAGCGGGAUUGAAGCUUGCUUCAAUUGCCGGCGACCGGCGCACGGGUGAGUAACGCGUAUCCAACCUUCCGUACACUCAGGGAUAGCCUUUCGAAAGAAAGAUUAAUACCUGAUGGUAUGAUGAGAUUGCAUGAUAGCAUCAUUAAAGAUUUAUCGGUGUACGAUGGGGAUGCGUUCCAUUAGGUAGUAGGCGGGGUAACGGCCCACCUAGCCGACGAUGGAUAGGGGUUCUGAGAGGAAGGUCCCCCACAUUGGAACUGAGACACGGUCCAAACUCCUACGGGAGGCAGCAGUGAGGAAUAUUGGUCAAUGGACGAGAGUCUGAACCAGCCAAGUAGCGUGAAGGAUGAAGGUCCUACGGAUUGUAAACUUCUUUUAUAAGGGAAUAAAACCUCCCACGUGUGGGAACUUGUAUGUACCUUAUGAGUAAGCAUCGGCUAACUCCGUGCCAGCAGCCGCGGUAAUACGGAGGAUGCGAGCGUUAUCCGGAUUUAUUGGGUUUAAAGGGAGCGCAGACGGGUCGUUAAGUCAGCUGUGAAAGUUUGGGGCUCAACCUUAAAAUUGCAGUUGAUACUGGCGUCCUUGAGUGCGGUUGAGGUGUGCGGAAUUCGUGGUGUAGCGGUGAAAUGCUUAGAUAUCACGAAGAACUCCGAUUGCGAAGGCAGCACACUAAGCCGUAACUGACGUUCAUGCUCGAAAGUGUGGGUAUCAAACAGGAUUAGAUACCCUGGUAGUCCACACGGUAAACGAUGGAUACUCGCUGUUGGCGAUAUACAGUCAGCGGCUUAGCGAAAGCGUUAAGUAUCCCACCUGGGGAGUACGCC